RNAcentral lists this ribosomal RNA (362 nucleotides) under Lacticaseibacillus rhamnosus. RNAcentral describes it as "bacterial SSU rRNA". It matches the Rfam family "Bacterial small subunit ribosomal RNA", at positions 305 to 659 of the family's 1533-position model. The record is from RNAcentral. Lineage: Bacteria; Bacillati; Bacillota; Bacilli; Lactobacillales; Lactobacillaceae.
CGGCCACAUUGGGACUGAGACACGGCCCAAACUCCUACGGGAGGCAGCAGUAGGGAAUCUUCCACAAUGGACGCAAGUCUGAUGGAGCAACGCCGCGUGAGUGAAGAAGGCUUUCGGGUCGUAAAACUCUGUUGUUGGAGAAGAAUGGUCGGCAGAGUAACUGUUGUCGGCGUGACGGUAUCCAACCAGAAAGCCACGGCUAACUACGUGCCAGCAGCCGCGGUAAUACGUAGGUGGCAAGCGUUAUCCGGAUUUAUUGGGCGUAAAGCGAGCGCAGGCGGUUUUUUAAGUCUGAUGUGAAAGCCCUCGGCUUAACCGAGGAAGUGCAUCGGAAACUGGGAAACUUGAGUGCAGAAGAGGAC